Molecule: ribosomal RNA, 479 nt
Filed under: uncultured bacterium
Lineage: Bacteria
Description: partial 16S ribosomal RNA
Rfam family: Bacterial small subunit ribosomal RNA
Source: RNAcentral
GACGAACGCUGGCGGCGUGCUUAACACAUGCAAGUCGAGCGGUAAGGCCCUUCGGGGUACACGAGCGGCGAACGGGUGAGUAACACGUGAGCAAUCUGCACUUCACACUGGGAUAAACCCCGGAAACGGGAGCUAAUACCGGAUACGACCACUUCGGACAUCAGAGGGUGGUGGAAAGUUCCGGCGGUGAAGGAUGAGCUCGCGGCCUAUCAGCUUGUUGGUGGGGUAACGGCACACCAAGGCUUCGACGGGUAGCCGGCCUGAGAGGGUGACCGGACACACUGGGAAUGAUACACGGCCCAGACUCCAACGUGAGGCAGCAGUGGGGAAUAUUGGACAAUGGGCGAAAGCCUGAUCCAGCAACUCCGCGUGAGGGAUGACGGCCUUCGGGUUGUAAACCUCUUUCAGCGCAGACGAAGCGAAAGUGACGGUAUGCGCAGAAGAAGCACCGGCCAACUACGUGCCAGCAGCCGCGGUAA